UACGAAGGGGGCUAGCGUUGAUCGGAAUUACUGGGCGUAAAGCGCACGUAGGCGGAUAUGUAAGUCAGAGGUGAAAUCCCAGGGCUCAACCAUGGAACUGCCUUUGAUACUGGAUGUCUCGAGUAUGGAAGAGGUGAGUGGAAUUCCGAGUGUAGAGGUAAAAUUCGUAGAUAUUCGGAGGAACACCAGUGGCGAAGGCGGCUCACUGGUCCAUUACUGACGCUGAGGUGCGAAAGCGUGGGGAGCAAACA
RNAcentral lists this ribosomal RNA (251 nucleotides) under uncultured Bartonella sp. RNAcentral's name for it is "partial 16S ribosomal RNA". It matches the Rfam family "Bacterial small subunit ribosomal RNA", at positions 524 to 774 of the family's 1533-position model. Lineage: Bacteria; Pseudomonadati; Pseudomonadota; Alphaproteobacteria; Hyphomicrobiales; Bartonellaceae. The record is from RNAcentral.